AUUUUUGCGUGCAUAUGACACGCCAAUCCUUCCCAUUAAUUUCGGUGGAGAGCAGAUGCGUCCAAAUAACACGCAUCAUCUUCAGCGGCAGUGACGUCACCAGCGAGGCUCGUUCAGUUCACCUGAUGCGCGUACACCUUCAAACAGUUACGUCGGAUUACAUACUCCACAACAACCUGUAAUCCAGCAGAUCUUUAAAGAAGCCAUCUCUUGUAAAAUCUCUCUCUCUCUCUCUCUCUCUCUCUCUCUCGCUCUGCUAGAAUUAACAGGGAACUUCAGCUCCACGCUCCCAAUGCUGAUAUUGAAGAAGCUGUCAAGGGGGCUGAACAAGUCCUUCAAAGGAUCAACCCUUCACAGGAAGGCCUGUCAUGAGAUUUGAAUUUGACCAUCUUGUGCAUUUAUGAAGAAGACCAAAAGCUGCAAAGGCAAACACUUCCAAUGGAUUUCUCACAGAUUACUUAACCAUUCUUCAUCAGCUCUUCACAAUAUCAGCCCAUUCAAAAGCUUCCAGAUCUUCCUCUCUUGUGUGACACAUCUGCUCUCAGUCCUUUACUGCCAACCUCCAGUCUUAGCAUUUCUGCUUGUAUUCAUUUUUGCUCUACAUUCAUCACUCCAAUCUCUACUAUAAGCUCUCCUGUAUAUAUAUAUAUAUAUACACAUAAUAAUAAUUAUUAUUAUUAACCAUUUAUUUGUUUUGCAUUUAUUCACAAUAGAAGCAAACAAUGAUUACAGGAUAUAUGUUUUUAAAGGUGAUAAUUGUAAAAUAUUGGAGCAUUGUUCUUAAUCAGUUUUGCCUAUUUGGUUGAUAAAGGGAAGAAAACAAUAUAUUUUCAACUGUAGCCUUGAUUAUUCUUUGGCAUCUUUUGUCAGGAUUUCUGUAAACAAAUUCCCUUUUUAUUUUUGAAUAUUAAACUUAUGUUUUUUGAAGGGAGUUUCUGUUGCAAUUUUGUUUGUUUGUUUUCACUUAGUUACCUCUAUGCAUUUUUUUUUAUCAACUUUUCUUUUUUUUUCAUAGUGGAAUAAACUGGAGAGAGACUGUUCUGGGCACUAUGUUUAUCUGCGAAAAGUUUGACAUAUCAAUAAACACUGUAAAAUGACUAGACAAUGA
Long non-coding RNA from Carassius gibelio (silver crucian carp), 1108 nucleotides. RefSeq lists it as uncharacterized. The record is from RefSeq and is a predicted model, not a curated record. The transcript is spliced from 4 exons. Lineage: Eukaryota; Metazoa; Chordata; Actinopteri; Cypriniformes; Cyprinidae.